AAGGUGGAUGUUGAGAAAACCAUGGACCUGAUGCUAGCAUAACACAACAGCAUUACACACACUAGCCAGUCAACAAGGAUUAUUACUGCAGCAGUACAUAGCAUGAGCUAUGUUUUAGCUCAUGUCGUGAAUGGCCUUUAAAAUAAUCCAGGUCAAAUCUCCAUAAAUGGCUAUGUCGAAAUUUUCUCAUGACCUUAUAUGGCCAGACAAGAGUAUGGAUGUGAAGCAUUAGGUGUCAGGGUUCCUGUGUGUGUGUGUGUGUUGAGUGUGAGUGAAGCAUCUUUUCCAGCGAAGAUCUUGGUGAGGAACCUGGGCAGCCUACACAGGUGGGUCCCAUCAGCCCCAUCAGUGGUGGGGAUAAAGGAGCAGCAGAACCUUCACUCAGUGCUGGAUGAUUAACGUGCACCGAUCAGUUUCUGGAUUCACCUACGGGAUCUGUUCCAUUGUUGUCUCCUCUCGUGUGGAUCACCCGCAAGUCUGCCUGCCCGCUGCUCCCUCCGCACCACUCAAUCGCUCCUGGAAGGAUCUAGGAGAACUACCUUUCUGUUAUUACAAGGAAAUAAAACCCUUACCUUUA
This is a long non-coding RNA of Poecilia reticulata (guppy), 577 nucleotides long. RefSeq lists it as uncharacterized. The record is from RefSeq and is a predicted model, not a curated record. Lineage: Eukaryota; Metazoa; Chordata; Actinopteri; Cyprinodontiformes; Poeciliidae.